CUCCAGGAAGCAGCUCCCCUGUCCUCCCGUGCAAUGCUGUGUGGAGCGUUGCCAUGGUAACGCGCGGCAACGCUCCACACAGCAUCGCGCGGGAGGACAGGGAAGCUGCUUCCUGGAG
RNAcentral lists this microRNA precursor (118 nucleotides) under Pelobates cultripes (western spadefoot toad). The record is from RNAcentral. Lineage: Eukaryota; Metazoa; Chordata; Amphibia; Anura; Pelobatidae.